RNAcentral lists this ribosomal RNA (406 nucleotides) under uncultured bacterium. RNAcentral describes it as "partial 16S ribosomal RNA". It matches the Rfam family "Bacterial small subunit ribosomal RNA", at positions 30 to 526 of the family's 1533-position model. The record is from RNAcentral.
AUUGAACGCUGGCGGCAGGCCUAACACAUGCAAGUCGAACGAGUGGCGGACGGGUGAUUAAUAUCUGGGAAACUGCCCCAUGUAGGGGGAUAACUACUGGAAACGGUAGCUAAUACCGCAUACCAUCUGAUUUGUCCAUAUGGGAUUAUCUAGUAGGUGGGGUAACGGCUCACCAAGGAGACGAUCCCUAGCUGGUCUGAGAGGAUGACCAGCCACACGGGAACUGAGACACGGUCCAGACGCCUACGGGAGGCAGCAGUGGGGAAUAUUGCACAAUGGGCGCAAGCCGGAUGCAGCCAUGCCGCGUGUAUGAAGAAGGCCUUCGGGGUGUAAAGUACUUUCAGCGAGGAGGCGUUACUCGCAGAAGAAGCACCGGCUAACUCCGUGCCAGCAGCCGCGGUAAUAC